UAGGGAAUCUUCGGCAAUGGACGGAAGUCUGACCGAGCAACGCCGCGUGAGUGAAGAAGGUUUUCGGAUCGUAAAGCUCUGUUGUAAGAGAAGAACGGGUGUGAGAGUGGAAAGUUCACACUGUGACGGUAUCUUACCAGAAAGGGACGGCUAACUACGUGCCAGCAGCCGCGGUAAUACGUAGGUCCCGAGCGUUGUCCGGAUUUAUUGGGCGUAAAGCGAGCGCAGGCGGUUAGAUAAGUCUGAAGUUAAAGGCUGUGGCUUAACCAUAGUACGCUUUGGAAACUGUUUAACUUGAGUGCAAGAGGGGAGAGUGGAAUUCCAUGUGUAGCGGUGAAAUGCGUAGAUAUAUGGAGGGGAAACCCCGGGGGGAAAAGGGGCCUCUCCUUUUUUUUUUUUGCCCAGGCCCCAAANGGGGGGGGGGGANAAAAAAAAAAAAAAUACNGUGGNCGUCNNUCUCAANANGAAAGAGGGNNAGGUGAUACACCCUUUCCGGGGUUUAGUGCCGUAGCUAACGCAUUAAGCACUCCGCCUGGGGAGUACGACCGCAAGGUU
Molecule: ribosomal RNA, 555 nt
Filed under: uncultured bacterium
Lineage: Bacteria
Description: partial 16S rRNA
Rfam family: Bacterial small subunit ribosomal RNA
Source: RNAcentral